GAGGAGGAGCUUUACUUCUGUACUGCCAUUUGCGUGGGACCCGAGGGCGUGCGGGACCCGAGGACGGGCCGCUCCCUCCUUUGCUCCGGUCGCCGCAGGUCAUGAGUACCCUGCCGGCGAAUGGGAGCCGGCCGCCGGCACUGUAGCCCGCAUAGGACGGUCGUGCACGGGUACUUGCGCCGGGUUGCGUGAGGGGCGCGAUCGCCCUGCCCUCUGCCAGACCUGCGGCGCAUUUACGGCGAGGCCGACGGGGGGACCCACAGGAUUUGUCUUUGUCUAUGCGGACCGCAUCCGAGGGGGUUCGCGUACUUGUGGGCCCCAGUGCGCCCGACCCCUCCAGUUAGGGUCGGGCGAGGCGGAGAACUCCGUGGCGAGGGGUCGGGCGCCCCCGACCCUGGGAUCGUGGUCGGGCGAGGCGGAAACCCUGCGGAGGGGGGUCGGGCGCUCCCGAUCCUGGCACCCGGGUCGGGCGAGGCGGAGAUUAGAUCAUGCUUUGGUGGGCCUGGGCCUUCAUGUCUGCUUCUUUAAGCAGUCUGUUAGGGGAUCG
Molecule: long non-coding RNA, 547 nt
Filed under: Setaria viridis
Lineage: Eukaryota; Viridiplantae; Streptophyta; Magnoliopsida; Poales; Poaceae
Description: long non-coding RNA (SVIR_LNC004398)
Source: RNAcentral